This 205-nucleotide unclassified non-coding RNA is filed under the name uncultured Pseudotomentella. RNAcentral's name for it is "sequence contains ITS1". The record is from RNAcentral. Lineage: Eukaryota; Fungi; Basidiomycota; Agaricomycetes; Thelephorales; Thelephoraceae.
UCGAGUUUUGACUGGGUUGUAGCUGGCCUCUUGAGGCAUGUGCACACCUUGAUCGCACAUCCACAUCUCACACCUGUGCACAACCUGUAGCUUGGGAUGAUUACAAUGCUGGGAACAGUGUUGAAAGCCCUUGCUAUGAAAUUUUACACACACAUAUUAAAAGUUAUAGAAUGUUAUAUAGCGUGUAACAGCGCAAAUAAAUAUA